GACGAACGCUGGCGGCGUGCUUAACACAUGCAAGUCGAACGGAAAGGCCCUGCUUUUGUGGGGUGCUCGAGUGGCGAACGGGUGAGUAACACGUGAGUAACCUGCCCUUAACUUUGGGAUAACUUCAGGAAACUGGGGCUAAUACCGGAUAGGAGCUCCUGCUGCAUGGUGGGGGUUGGAAAGUUUCGGCGGUUGGGGAUGGACUCGCGGCUUAUCAGCUUGUUGGUGGGGUAGUGGCUUACCAAGGCUUUGACGGGUAGCCGGCCUGAGAGGGUGACCGGCCACAUUGGGACUGAGAUACGGCCCAGACUCCUACGGGAGGCAGCAGUGGGGAAUAUUGCACAAUGGGCGGAAGCCUGAUGCAGCAACGCCGCGUGCGGGAUGACGGCCUUCGGGUUGUAAACCGCUUUCGCCUGUGACGAAGCGUGAGUGACGGUAAUGGGGAAAGAAGCACCGGCUAACUACGU
This 467-nucleotide ribosomal RNA is filed under the name uncultured bacterium. RNAcentral's name for it is "partial 16S ribosomal RNA". It matches the Rfam family "Bacterial small subunit ribosomal RNA", at positions 28 to 506 of the family's 1533-position model. The record is from RNAcentral.